Sesamum indicum (sesame) is the source of this 647-nucleotide long non-coding RNA. RefSeq lists it as uncharacterized. The record is from RefSeq and is a predicted model, not a curated record. NCBI's taxonomy places the organism in Eukaryota, Viridiplantae, Streptophyta, Magnoliopsida, Lamiales, Pedaliaceae.
GCUGUAUAUACUUGCAUUAUUCACCCAAUAAAGAUUGGUUCGUAUAGUCUUGAAUACCAACCCCCUCCUCCUUUCUUUCUUCAUGAUGGUGGCUCAUCACCUUGAAUACCGGCCUCCUCCGCUCCUAGACGUGCCUGGAUAGGCUGUAUGCUAGCUGAGAAUGGUUUGUUGCCAUGAGAGGAGCUUUCAAGGAGGCUAAGAGAUGCAAGACCAGCUCAGAUACAUGCUUCUUUGGUCUUCAAUUAUGAGGUUGAUCAUAAGAACAUUGUUUUAGCAGUCAUGACAGUGACUGCAGACAAUGGUGGACCUUCGACUUUAGUUGAAACAGUAUUGUUCUCCAAGUUCAUUAGGCUGGUUCAAAGCCAAGUUCUAUUUACAUUUGUUUCUUAAUUGUGCGACACCAACGGGCAGGGGAAGGAGGUGCCGCGCCUGUUCGUACCCCACAGAAAUUUUCCACAAACAUUUUUCCAGUUCAUCUCAUGGAUAGGGUAGUUUCAUCUACUUGUUUAUUCAGUCAUGUAUCAUGAUUCCAGCUAUAUAUGUGAAGCACCAAUUCGUUUCUUCAAGACAGACUACCAACUACUGUACUAUUCUUUACCAUUUCUAGAGCACUCCAAAAAUAAUCAACCUUUGCACAUCAUUAUUUA